RNAcentral lists this long non-coding RNA (1146 nucleotides) under Nicotiana benthamiana. Its description in RNAcentral is "long non-coding RNA (NBEN_LNC013974)". Lineage: Eukaryota; Viridiplantae; Streptophyta; Magnoliopsida; Solanales; Solanaceae. The record is from RNAcentral.
CCCAGCCCAAAACAUCCUUAAACCGCGACCCACCUCUCUGACCCGCCCCAUUCCCAAACACAUAUAACCCCAAUUAUAACGUUUCUUCCACAAGCCCUAACCCUAAUCUAUACUCCCAAGGCGCCCACUCUAUCUCCUGCGCCUCUCUUCCGCAAUUCAACCCACAAAUGACAAAACUCGCCAAACUCAGGCGAGUUCACUCGCACACGCCCUUAUCUCACUACAUCAUCAUGAUUCUAACGGCCUCUCACAUAUUUUCAUCUCUCAUAUGUGUUCUUGUGAAUGAAUUCCGAAAAAUGGGGACCGUGGAUUGAUUUUGAAUCGAUCCUCUCUCUCCAUUUGUCCAAAAAUGGGUUCCACUGUUUCAAUAUGUGCUCAGCUCCUUCUUCCUUGACUUUUAGAUUAAAUCUUUAAUUUUGGUCCCAUAGUAGUUCGAUUGGUUUGGGUGUUAGUGGAUUGCUCAAAAAAGUUAUUUUGAAUGAGAACAUUUUCAUGUUUCCAGCUUGUUGAAUUUCAAUGGUUUAGGUUGUUUUUUUGAUACUGAAGGGUACUGUUUUGUGAUGAAAGAGGAGUUUCUCUUAGAUUUGGGUAGAUUUGCUACCCUUUAAUAAUAUGGAUAUUGCUAGCAACAAUGACAGUUAGUCAGAAAAGAGAAAUAAUGAAGAAGUCACGAAUUAUCAGUCACCAAAUAUUUCCUCGGAAUGGCAAUUAAAUGGGAACAAUUUGACUAAUGUAUCUAUGGGGAUGGCUGAUUCAUUUUGCCCUACUACUUCGGAUCAGUCUAACAAUUCGCCGAGCUUAGGCUUUUGUGAUGCAAAUGUUCAAAUAAAUUCCAUAAUCUAUGGCCCUCAAAGUAAUAUUAUAACUUAGAUAUUAAAUAAUUCAAUCAUAGAGAUACUUAGGCAUGCAUUUAAUUUAGUAUCGUGAUUGUGUACACGCUAUUUCUGCUGGAGUUAUUAAUGCUCUUUUGUUUUUGUUUUGUGUUUGUUUUUGUUUUUCAUUUCAUUCACUGAGCCAAGGGUCGAUUGGAAACAGCAUCUCUGCCCUUUCGGGUAGGGGUAAGGCUCGACUACAUAUUAACCUCCCCAGACCCCACUUUGUGGGACUAUACUGGGUAGUUGUUGUUAUUGUUGUUGUUGAUUGUGU